Molecule: transfer RNA, 73 nt
Filed under: Priapulus caudatus
Lineage: Eukaryota; Metazoa; Priapulida; Priapulimorpha; Priapulimorphida; Priapulidae
Description: tRNA-Val
Rfam family: tRNA
About the family: Transfer RNA (tRNA) molecules are approximately 80 nucleotides in length.
Source: RNAcentral
GUUCCUGUAGUGUAGUGGUUAUCACGUUCGCUUUACACGCGAAAGGUCUCAGGUUCGAACCCUGGCAGGAACA